UACAGGGGGGGCAAGCGUUGUUCGGAAUUACUGGGCGUAAAGGGCUCGUAGGUGGCCGACUAAGUCAGACGUGAAAUCCCUCAGCUUAACUGGGGAACUGCGUCUGAUACUGGAUGGCUUGAGUUUGGGAGAGGGAUGCGGAAUUCCAGGUGUAGCGGUGAAAUGCGUAGAUAUCUGGAGGAACACCGGUGGCGAAGGCGGGUUGCUGGGCCGACACUGACGCUGAGGCGCGAAAGCCAGGGGAGCGAACGGG
This 253-nucleotide ribosomal RNA is filed under the name uncultured bacterium. Its description in RNAcentral is "partial 16S ribosomal RNA". It matches the Rfam family "Bacterial small subunit ribosomal RNA", at positions 524 to 776 of the family's 1533-position model. The record is from RNAcentral.